This 3321-nucleotide long non-coding RNA is filed under the name Homo sapiens (human). RNAcentral's name for it is "HSALNT0362784". Lineage: Eukaryota; Metazoa; Chordata; Mammalia; Primates; Hominidae. The record is from RNAcentral.
GAACAAAACUCUGAUCUCUCCCUGGGAUGGAGACCCAGUGGGGCGGGGCAGCUGAUGUCUCUGUGGUUCUGUCGACUCAGCCUUCCCAGACUGCUGGCUCUGGAGAGUCCAGGCAGUCUGGACAAGGAAACGCUACCCCCAACACGGUACACCUGCUGUACAGAAAAGCAGCCAGACUGCCUCUUUAAGCGUGUCCCUGAUCUUGUCCUUCCUGAUGGGGUGAGAACUUCAAACAGGGGUCUCCAAACACCUUCUACAGGAGCAUCCAGGCUGACAACAGAGCUUCUCUCGCAUCUUGGACUCUCAGGCUGCAGAUCAAUCACAAUGCCAUAGAACACAGAUGACACUUUCCCCUGCUUUGGAGACCCGUUGUUCCCAUGGUGUAGAUACAUGUAAGAGGGAGUGCCAUAGAAAAUGACAACUGCUCGUCAGGUGGGAAGCUCACAUGAAGAAGCCUUGUGUCCUUCCUGCAGUGGAAGACAUCUUCGGGAUAGCAGCCAGGGUAUAUACCUGGGAAAAGAUGACCACCAUCAAUCACAGUGGUGUUCAGGAGCUUUCAGUUCUCAUGCCCCCACAGAAACAAUGACUGACAACCAUUCACAGAUGAGAGCACCUUUGUGGAGCCCGGAAGGCCAGCAGAGAGGUCCAAGCAUCCUGCUGAAGAAAAGAAUCUGAACAUAGACACUUUAAAGAGGAUAAGAAAAGCAGUUUCAUUUUACCAGCAUCGGCCUCCCUCAAGGCAGCACAGCUUAAUGUCAAAGAGACCUGCACCUCCAGUGAUUUCUCCCAUAGGGGAAAGUGAGACCUUCUCCAGCCUAAGGGGUUCUUUUCUUUCUCACCUCACCCAGAAUACUGAAUGAAUGACUCAAUAGUCCUGGGACAAUUCGGGGCAGGGGCUCACAGCAACAUGGGUGCAGUACAUAAAGCGUUAUUGUUUCCACUGGCUGCUCUGCAGAAUCCACCAAGAGGCUGCUCACAAACCUUCCAGGACAUAUCACCUGUGGAGGCCACAACAAGACCAUGGUUGUGUCUGGUAUUUUGCCUGCCCUCUCCCCAUAGAUGUGCCUGCAAGAGCCUCUGCAGCUCAUACACCAAAAACACACACAGACAGCCAACUAGACUGCUCUGGGUUGGGAGAAGAUACUUUAAGCACUUCAUGUCACUGCCCUAGGAAAAAUAAAUUGGAGAUUCUCAGUACCCAGCAUGGUUUUAAGGCUUGAGAGAAAGUAUACAAUCGUAACACUUCCUCGUGGAGAGGGAACAAAAGGAGUGGAGUUGGUGUAUCCAUAGGAUAAGUCUGAGAUUCCACAUGCAAGUGAGAUCAUGCAGUAUUUCUUUCUUCAUCUGGCUGAUUUCACUUAGCACAGUGUUCUCCAGGUUCCUCCAUGCUGUUGCAAAUGGCAGGAUUUCCUUAUUUUUAAUGGCUGAAUAAUAUUCCAGUGUCUAUAUAUAUCAUGUUUUCUUUAUCCAUUCAUCUGCUGACCAACAUUUGUUUACGUAUCUUGACUAUUGAGACUAGUGCUGCAAUGAACAUUACAGAUGAGAGUGCAGAUAUGUAUUCGACAUACUGAUUUCAUUUCCUUUGGAUAUACACCCAGAAGUGGGAAUGCUGAAUCAUAUGGUAGUUCUAUUUUUAACUUUUUGAGGAAGCUCUGUACCAUUUUUACAAUGCUUGUACCAGUUUAUAGUCCCAUCAGCUGUGUACAAGGAUUUUUGUCACACAAAACUUCAACACAUCCUUUUCUUUUUGUUAGUAGCCAUUUUAACAAGUGUGAUGUGAUAUCUCAUUGUGAUUUUGAUUUGCAUUUAUUUGGCAAUUAGUGAGGUUGAGCACCUCUUCAUAUACCCAUUGGCCAUUUGUAUGUCUUCUUUUGAGAAAUGCCUAUUCGGGUAACUUGACCAUUUUAAAAUCAGGUUGUUUACAUAUUUAUUUUGCUAUUGAGUUGUGUGAGUACCUUAUAUACUUUGGAUAUAAACUCCUUAUCAGGUAUAUAGUUUGCAAAUAUUUUCUUCCAUUCUCUACAUUGUCUUUUCAUGUUGUUGAUUGUUUCAUUUGCUGUACAGAAGUUUUUUAGUUUCAAAGAAGUAAUUCCACUUGUUUCUUUUUGUUAUUGUUGUCAUGGGCUUUUUAUGUCUUAUCGAAAAAAAUAAUGCCAACAGCAAUGUGAAAGUGCUUUUCUCCUAUGUUUUCUUCCAGGAGUUAUAUGGUUUCAGAUUUUACAUUUAAGUCUUUAAUCCAUUUAGAGUUAAUUUUUGUAUAUGGUAUGAGUCCUAUUUCAUUUUUUGCAUGUGGCUAUCCAGUUUUUGCAACACUACUUAUUAAAGGGAUUUCCCCCCCAAUUUUGUACUGGCACUUUGGUCAAAGAUUAGUUUACCACAUAUGCCUAGAUUUAUUUCUGGGCUCUGUAUUCUGUUUCAUUAAUCUAUCUGUCUGUUUUCAUGUCAGUACCAUACUGUUUUGAUUACUGUAGCUUUGUGUUAUAAUUUGAAAUUAUUGAGUGUGAUGCCUCUAGGUUUAUUCUUUUUACUCAAGAUUUCUUUGACUAUUGGAGGUCUUUUGUGGCUUAUAAAUUUUAGGAUUGUUUUUUCUAUUUCUGCAAAAAAUGUCAUCAGAAUUUUGACAGAGACUGCAUUAAAUCUGUAGACUACUUUGGGUAAUAUGGACAUCUUAGUAAUAUUAAUUAUUCCUUUCCAUGAACACAGAAUAUCUUUCCACUUUUUUUUUGUCUUCAGUUUUUUCAUCAAUAUCUCAUAUUUUCAAUGUACAGAUCUUUUACCUCCUUGUUAAAUGUAUUCUUUAAGUAUUGUAUUCUUUUUGAUGCCAUUGUAAAUGGAAUAAUGUUGUUAGUUUCCUUUUUGAAUAGUUUAUUGUUAGUGUAUAGAAACACUAAUGACUUUUCUGUGUCUAUUUUUUAUGCUGUAACUUUCCUGAAUUUAUUACUUUUAUCAGUUUUUUUUUGUGUGUAGAGUCUUUAGAGUUUUCUCUAUAUAAGAUCAUGUCAUUUGCAGAGACACUUUGAUUUCUUCCUUUUCAAUUUGGAUAAUUUCAUUUCUUUUUUUUUUGCCUAAUUGCAACAGCUAUAACUUCCAGUACUGUGGUGAAUAUAAAUGGCAAGAAUGGGCAUCCUUGUAUUUUUCCUUAUCUUAAAGGACAAUCUUUCAUCUUUUUACCAUUAAGUAUGAUGUAGACUGUGGGCUUGUCAUACAUGGCUUUUAUUAUUUUGAGACACAUUGCUUCUACACCUACUUUGUUGAGACUUUUACCAUAAAACACCAUUGAAUUUUGUCAAAUGCUUUUUCUGUAUCAAUUGAGAUGACCGU